GAUGAACGCUGGCGGCGUGCCUAAUACAUGCAAGUCGAGCGAACAGACGAGGAGCUUGCUCCUCUGACGUUAGCGGCGGACGGGUGAGUAACACGUGUAUAACCUACCUAUAAGACUGGUAUAACUUCGGGAAACCGGAGCUAAUACCGGAUAAUAUAUUGAACCGCAGGGUGCAAUAGUGAAAGACGGUUGUGCUGUCACUUAUAGAUGGAUCCGCGCCGCAUUGGCUAGUUGGUAAGGUAACGGCUUACCAAGGGAACGAUGCGUAGCCGAGCUGAGAGGGGGUUCGGCCACUGUGAAGGUGAGACGCGACCCAGGGUCCUAGGGGCGGCAGAGGCUGGUACUCUAGCGAGCAGGGGGGAAGCCUGCCGGAGGAACGCAGCGUGAGUGAUGAAGCGCUGCGGGUCGUAAAACGCUGUUAUGGGGGAAGAACACAUGUGUAUGUAACGAUGCGCGUCUUGCCGGAACCGAUACAGAAGGCCCCGGCUACCUCCGU
RNAcentral lists this ribosomal RNA (496 nucleotides) under uncultured bacterium. RNAcentral describes it as "partial 16S ribosomal RNA". It matches the Rfam family "Bacterial small subunit ribosomal RNA", at positions 28 to 506 of the family's 1533-position model. The record is from RNAcentral.